Molecule: ribosomal RNA, 492 nt
Filed under: uncultured bacterium
Lineage: Bacteria
Description: partial 16S ribosomal RNA
Rfam family: Bacterial small subunit ribosomal RNA
Source: RNAcentral
AGUGAACGCUGGCGGUAGGCCUAACACAUGCAAGUCGAACGGCAGCACAGUAAGAGCUUGCUCUUACGGGUGGCGAGUGGCGGACGGGUGAGGAAUACAUCGGAAUCUACUUUUUCGUGGGGGAUAACGUAGGGAAACUUACGCUAAUACCGCAUACGACCUACGGGUGAAAGCAGGGGAUCUUCGGACCUUGCGCGAUUGAAUGAGCCGAUGUCGGAUUAGCUAGUUGGCGGGGUAAAGGCCCACCAAGGCGACGAUCCGUAGCUGGUCUGAGAGGAUGAUCAGCCACACUGGAACUGAGACACUGUCCAGACUCCUACGGGAGGCAGCAGUGGGGAAUAUUGGACAAUGGGCGCAAGCCUGAUCCAGCCAUACCGCGUGGGUGAAGAAGGCCUUCGGGUUGUAAAGCCCUUUUGUUGGGAAAGAAAAGCAGCAGGUUAAUACCCCGCUGUUCCGACGGUACCCAAAGAAUAAGCACCGGCUAACUUCGUG